Maniola jurtina (meadow brown) is the source of this 92-nucleotide long non-coding RNA. RefSeq lists it as uncharacterized. The transcript is spliced from 3 exons. The record is from RefSeq and is a predicted model, not a curated record. Lineage: Eukaryota; Metazoa; Arthropoda; Insecta; Lepidoptera; Nymphalidae.
UUCAAAGAAAAAAAACCCUGUUAAGUGCCGAUUUCACCAACGUCGAAUGACGUUUAACCGAGGAAUAAAUUAAGUGUAGUCAGUUUUUGUAU